AAGGCAGCCCUGGCCUGCUCACUGAAGCUGGGGAGAGAGGAUGAUGACAAGCUAAGACCACAAAUCUCUCCUGAGGGAGUCAGGGGAGCAGGAGAUGUGGGUGGUGCUGAGCUCCCACUGCCUCCCAGGGCAGAGAGGACCGCAGUCCAGUCCUCAACCUGUGCGAAAGGUUUGGGGAAAUGACAACUGAGAGCUACUAAUGUGUGGACAGAGUCUGCGGCCGUGGCAGGUGGCACACACUGGCAAUGAUGACCAGAGCCACGGUGACAGUGGCAGCCUGCUCCCUGGACUCUGCGUCCCGAAGCACGUGCCAGGCUGCAGCAGCAUCCACAGUGGACAGGGAGCCACGGGAAGCGGGCUGCCAUCAAGCCACAAUUUCACCAGCUCUGCUCUUGGGUGGAACCACUACUUCCCGCCAGAGCUUGCAGAUGAAGCAAAGAGGGGCCAUGGAGGGAUCCAGGGCUGACUGCUUGGAGCCUUGGUUUUCCUGCAUUUUACAAAUGGAGUUGUAGUCAUAAACCUGCCACCUCAUUUAAUUUCCAGUGAUGCUGUAAAACUAAACGAAAUUUUG
Molecule: long non-coding RNA, 571 nt
Filed under: Homo sapiens (human)
Lineage: Eukaryota; Metazoa; Chordata; Mammalia; Primates; Hominidae
Description: HSALNT0372236
Source: RNAcentral